RNAcentral lists this ribosomal RNA (408 nucleotides) under Favorinus elenalexiarum. RNAcentral describes it as "partial 28S ribosomal RNA". Lineage: Eukaryota; Metazoa; Mollusca; Gastropoda; Nudibranchia; Facelinidae. The record is from RNAcentral.
AAAAGAACUCUGAAGAGAGGGUGCAAAGCGCGUGAAACCGCCAAGGGGUAAACUGGCUGAGCCGAGAGACGUGUCCUGCCGGGGCGGCUGGUCGUCGUUCCUUCUCGUCGGGGCUCGCUCUGUUAAAGGGGCGAGCCCUCGUUACGGGGGAGGAAUGUCGCGUGUCCAACCCCGGUAGGUCUCCGCCGUCACCGGCACCGGGCCGUCUCGCUCUCUCGCCCUCCCGUGGGUCGUCGGCCUCGGGGUUCUACGGGGCGCGGAGUAGGCGAGAGCGGUCGCUGGUGCCGAGGACGACCGCGGGCAAGGGGCCGUCGGCGUUCGCGCUCUCUUCGCGGGGCGCGUGGGUCGUCGCCCGCCCGUCGAAAGGUGUACGGCGUUCAUUCCGGUACCUGCCCGACCCGUCUUGAA